CAUUAGUGACAGUGACCAGUGGCAACAGGAUGUGGGCGUGUCCAGUGGACACAUUGAAGUUAAGAAAAGUUUGACAGUAUGCAAAUGAGGAGCGAAGCAGCGACUACCAAUGGGAAUGAAGAUAACAGAUCUCCAACUAUUCAAAAUGUGUAAGCUGUGCUUGCCUAUGGAGACCAAACUAGCAGCUUAUAAAAUCUCGACAACACAUCAACCCUUCGCAAGAAUGUAGAGUCUCAGUCUUUAGCAAUGCUGGCUGCUGGGGGCAAAGGCUGCCCUUCACUCUGAGGCGUCUCUUCUUCUGACUUCUCUCAUGGAAACUGCCGGCGCCGCACUGAAUUAAUCAGGCCAUUCCAGAGGAGCAGACCUUCAGUGCCUGAGUUUAAGACAGAGCCACAAGUCCAGGUGUGACUCUCACUAUUAGAACAUGAAUAAAAUGACUAUUCUAGGCA
Molecule: long non-coding RNA, 449 nt
Organism: Cyprinus carpio (common carp)
Lineage: Eukaryota; Metazoa; Chordata; Actinopteri; Cypriniformes; Cyprinidae
Source: Ensembl